AGUGAACGCUGGCGGUAGGCCUAACACAUGCAAGUCGAACGGCAGCACAGUAAGAGCUUGCUCUUACGGGUGGCGAGUGGCGGACGGGUGAGGAAUACAUCGGAAUCUACUUUUUCGUGGGGGAUAACGUAGGGAAACUUACGCUAAUACCGCAUACGACCUACGGGUGAAAGCAGGGGAUCUUCGGACCUUGCGCGAUUGAAUGAGCCGAUGUCGGAUUAGCUAGUUGGCGGGGUAAAGGCCCACCAAGGCGACGAUCCGUAGCUGGUCUGAGAGGAUGGUCAGCCACACUGGAACUGAGACACGGUCCAGACUCCUACGGGAGGCAGCAGUGGGGAAUAUUGGACAAUGGGCGCAAGCCUGAUCCAGCCAUACCGCGUGGGUGAAGAAGGCCUUCGGGUUGUAAAGCCCUUUUGUUGGGAAAGAAAAGCAGCAGGUUAAUACCCUGCUGUUCUGACGGUACCCAAAGAAUAAGCACCGGCUAACUUCGUG
Molecule: ribosomal RNA, 492 nt
Filed under: uncultured bacterium
Lineage: Bacteria
Description: partial 16S ribosomal RNA
Rfam family: Bacterial small subunit ribosomal RNA
Source: RNAcentral